This is a non-coding RNA of Cinara cedri, 700 nucleotides long. Lineage: Eukaryota; Metazoa; Arthropoda; Insecta; Hemiptera; Aphididae. The record is from the annotation of a GenBank genome assembly.
CUAAAUAAAAAUGAAAUUCAGUUACAUUAGUACAUUUUCGAUAGUAAAAUUAUUUUCUUGAAUACAUUUUCAAAUAUAUCAAAAAAAUAAAGUGUGUAGAUCGAUACAUUUGUUUUGUUUCUUGAUUCGUUGAUCUUCCUUGUUUAUUGUUUUAUUAGUGACAUUUAUUAUUAUAAAAACUACAUAUAUAAAUAUAUUACCUAUAGUAAAUAUUAACAGAGAACGCUGAAAAAAAAUUUAUAAAUUUGAUUAGUUUUGUAAAACUGAAAUGUUUUGAUAUGGCUAAAUAUUCCAUAAUAUCAACAAGAUAUCCUCUAUCAUUAGGCAUUCAACCCGGAUGAUGAUGUUAUUCUGCCGUAUUUAUUUUUACAACGUUUCAAUAUUGUUUAUGCUCACAGAAUGUGUUUCAUUAAAUCUUUAAACUAUAAUUUACUCUGAAUGACUUCAUCUCCGGUCACACUGUUAUCUGUUUAUAUGUCUGGACGGUUAGUUUUGAUAGAAAUUCGUACUAUUUAUAGUCCCAUAUGGCACUUUACAUUGGAGCAUAGUGCUUAAAACAGGUAAUAUUUGGACAAAUUACAAGUACUUAAUUUCCAUAAAAAGCCGUUUCACUAAGGUGCAUCGUAUAUUUUAUGGUACCACAUUAAACCGUUCAUAGAAAAAUGAAGGAUUUGGCUGAGGUUAAUAAAACGAGCUUAAU